UACGGGGGGGGCAAGCGUUGUUCGGAAUUACUGGGCGUAAAGGGCUCGUAGGCGGCCAACUAAGUCAGACGUGAAAUCCCUCGGCUUAACCGGGGAACUGCGUCUGAUACUGGAUGGCUUGAGUUUGGGAGAGGGAUGCGGAAUUCCUGGUGUAGCGGUGAAAUGCGCAGAUAUCAGGAAGAACACCCGUGGCGAAGGCGGCUCUCUGGGACGGUACUGACGCUGAGACGCGAAAGCGUGGGGAGCAAACAGG
RNAcentral lists this ribosomal RNA (253 nucleotides) under uncultured bacterium. RNAcentral describes it as "partial 16S ribosomal RNA". It matches the Rfam family "Bacterial small subunit ribosomal RNA", at positions 524 to 776 of the family's 1533-position model. The record is from RNAcentral.